Molecule: ribosomal RNA, 111 nt
Filed under: Danio rerio (zebrafish)
Lineage: Eukaryota; Metazoa; Chordata; Actinopteri; Cypriniformes; Danionidae
Source: RNAcentral
UACCACAGCCAUCUCAUCCUGCAGCACGACCAGUUACUUACUGAAGCUAAGCAGGGCUGAGCCUGGUUAGUGGAUGGGAGACCACAUGGGAAAACUAGGUUGCUGUUGGAA